This is a non-coding RNA of Oryza meridionalis, 71 nucleotides long. The record is from Rfam. Lineage: Eukaryota; Viridiplantae; Streptophyta; Magnoliopsida; Poales; Poaceae.
GCGCAUCUGGUGUAGUGGUAUCAUAGUACAUUCCCACGUUACUGAUCGGGGUUCGAUUCGCCGGAUGCGCG